RNAcentral lists this ribosomal RNA (465 nucleotides) under uncultured bacterium. RNAcentral's name for it is "partial 16S ribosomal RNA". It matches the Rfam family "Bacterial small subunit ribosomal RNA", at positions 339 to 795 of the family's 1533-position model. The record is from RNAcentral.
CUACGGGGGGCUGCAGUGAGGAAUUUUGCGCAAUGGGGGGAACCCUGACGCAGCAACGCCGCGUGAGUGAUGAAGGCUUUCGGGUCGUAAAGCUCUGUCAAGUGGGAAGAACCUAUGCAGUGUUAAUAUCACUGUAUACUGACGGUACCACUGAAGGAAGCACCGGCUAACUCCGUGCCAGCAGCCGCGGUAAUACGGGGGGUGCAAGCGUUAUUCGGAAUCGUUGGGCGUAAAGGGCACGUAGGCGGCUUGGUAAGUCAGAUGUGAAAGCCCGGGGCUUAACCCCGGAAGUGCAUUUGGUACUGUCAGGCUUGAGUAUGGGAGAGGGAAGUGGAAUUCCUGGUGUAGAGGUGAAAUUCGUAGAUAUCAGGAGGAACACCGGUGGCGAAGGCGACUUCCUGGACCAAUACUGACGCUGAGGUGCGAAGGCGUGGGUAGCAAACAGGAUUAGAUACCCGAGUAGUC